GAACAAUUGGGACCCACAAACAUUCAUAGAGUUGUUGUUUGAGAAUAGAAGAUAUGAUUCCCUGGACUUUAUUCUUUCUAAUUAGUGUUCAUGGAGUCUGGAGUGAGAUCAGACUGGACCAGUCUCCAUCUGAGGUGAAAAGACCUGGAGAGACAGUGAAGAUGUCUUGUAUCACAUCUGGUUAUAGCAUGACGAGCUACAAUAUUCACUGGAUACGACAGAGACCAGGACAAGCUCUGGAGUGGAUUGGUUGGAUGAAUACAGGCAACAACGCUGCCAGCUAUGCCAGCGCCUUCCAGAAUCGUUUCCCGAUGACUGAAGAUGUGUCCAGCAGCACUCAGUACCUCCAGAUCAAGAGUCUGACAGCAGAAGAUUCUGCUGUUUAUUAUUGUGCUCGACAACCACAGUGA
Non-coding RNA from Amphiprion ocellaris (clown anemonefish), 410 nucleotides. Lineage: Eukaryota; Metazoa; Chordata; Actinopteri; Pomacentridae. The record is from the annotation of a RefSeq genome assembly.